UACGGAGGGUGCAAGCGUUAUCCGGAUUCACUGGGUUUAAAGGGUGCGUAGGUGGGCAGGUAAGUCAGUGGUGAAAUCUCCGGGCUUAACCCGGAAACUGCCAUUGAUACUAUCAUUCUUGAAUAUUGUGGAGGUAAGCGGAAUAUGUCAUGUAGCGGUGAAAUGCUUAGAUAUGACAUAGAACACCGAUAGCGAAGGCAGCUUGCUACACAAUUAUUGACACUGAGGCUCGAAAGCGUGGGGAUCAAACAGG
RNAcentral lists this ribosomal RNA (253 nucleotides) under uncultured bacterium. Its description in RNAcentral is "partial 16S ribosomal RNA". It matches the Rfam family "Bacterial small subunit ribosomal RNA", at positions 524 to 776 of the family's 1533-position model. The record is from RNAcentral.